CAGAUGCUUAACUGACCGAGCCACCCAGAAAAGCUCUUUCUAAACAGGACAUCAAAAACUGAAACUAUAAAGGAGUGAGACAUCUGGCUGGCAUUUGCACAAGAAUGUGGGGCCAAGGUGAAGAGGAUCUGAGGAGGCAAGGACGUCUCAAGCCACAAAGGGCCUUCACAAGGCAUGUGACUGACAUCUCAUGACAUGGUACAGAUCCGAAGCAGCUAACAACACCUCUGUCCUAACAUUUCAUUAAAAGACAAGGAAUAGUGUGGA
Molecule: long non-coding RNA, 267 nt
Organism: Neofelis nebulosa (Clouded leopard)
Lineage: Eukaryota; Metazoa; Chordata; Mammalia; Carnivora; Felidae
Exons: 2
Source: RefSeq, a predicted model, not a curated record